Molecule: ribosomal RNA, 468 nt
Filed under: uncultured bacterium
Lineage: Bacteria
Description: partial 16S ribosomal RNA
Rfam family: Bacterial small subunit ribosomal RNA
Source: RNAcentral
GACGAACGCUGGCGGCGUGCUUAACACAUGCAAGUCGAACGGAAAGGCCCUGCUUUUGUGGGGUGCUCGAGUGGCGAACGGGUGAGUAACACGUGAGUAACCUGCCCUUCACUUUGGGAUAACUUCAGGAAACUGGGGCUAAUACCGGAUAGGAGCUCCUGCUGCAUGGUGGGGGUUGGAAAGUUUCGGCGGUUGGGGAUGGACUCGCGGCUUAUCAGCUUGUUGGUGGGGUAGUGGCUUACCAAGGCUUUGACGGGUAGCCGGCCUGAGAGGGUGACCGGCCACAUUGGAACUGAGAUACGGCACAGACUCCUACGGGAGGCAGCAGUGGGGAAUAUUGCACAAUGGGAGGAAGCAUGAUGCAGCAAAGCCGCGUGCGGGAUGACGGCAUUCGGGUUGUAAACCGCUUUCGCCUGUGACGAAGCGUGAGUGACGGUAAUGGGUAAAGAAGCACCGGCUAACUACGUG